GCCCCCUUUGUGCAACUUGUUAGAUAGAACUUACCAACAUUAUGAUAAAAAGAGCCAACUUAAUUUUUGUUCUGAUGGAGUAUUGUGUUUUGGGUGGCACUUAUUUUUUGUUCAACUGGGCAGCAAAUCAUGUGCAACUUUUCUUUUAAUUCAAACUAGCCAACUUCAUAUAUAAAAGUGGCCAACCCACCACAUUUUCUCUCCCCUGUGCAACUUCUGUUAAUUUGACUAAUACAUUGUUCGUAUUUUUUUGCAAAGACCAAAAUGGCUGGAGAAGGAGAUGUGGCUGACAAUGAAACAGAGGGUUCUGCAAAUCCGAUCUCACGACGGAACUCAAAAAGGGCUGCUAAGCGGCAGCCGCGUGGCGAUGAUAAGGACGGGGAUGGAGAGGGUGACGAUGGUGGCGAAAGAUUCCUCUUAGUAAAACUGCAGAGAAGAAAGGUGCGCACGGAGGCAGUAUCCAAAGGGGUAAAUGCCACAUCUUCUGCAGCAGUCGCUGAGGUAACAUAAAAUUCCAUCAGCAAUAUUUUUUACUCCACAUACAGGCAGCCAAGUGUAUUAAUUUUCAUACAUAGUUGCAGCAGGACUAAUUAAGCAUUGGCAUGCUCAACUUUCUCAGUUGCUUAACGUUGCCUCUUCAAGUUUUUUAGAAUUGUCGCAAGAGUAUGUAACGACUUGGCAUCCUCAGGCUUUCUAGUUGCAGAAUAGUAUCUAAUUAGUUGGCAACCUCAGUAAUUCUAGUUGCACAACAAUAUACAACUAGUUGACAUCCUCAGCUUCUCUAGUUGCACAAAAACUCAUAUUAGUCUCAUCUUAAAAAAAUUAAGGAUUUCCCUAUAGUAUGUAACGACUUGGCACCCUCAGGCUUUCUAGUUGCAGAAGAGUGUCUAUUUAGUUGGCACCCUCGGCAAUUCUAGUUGGAUAACAUUAUUCAAGUAGUUGACAUCCUCAGCCUCUUUAGUUGCACAAGAAUUCAGAUUAAUCCCAUCUUAAAAAAUUUGAGGAUUGCCCAACGGUAUCUAGUCACUUGGCACCCUCGGGCUUUCUAGUUGGACAACAUUAUCCAAGUAGUUGACAUCCUCAGCCUCUCUAGUUGCACAAGAAUUCAGAUUAAUCCCAUCUUAAAAAUUUUGAGGAUUGCCCAACGGUAUCUAAUCACUUGGCACCCUCAGGCUUUCUAGUUGCAGAAGAGUAUCUAUUUAGUUGGCACCCUCGGCAAUUCUAGUUGGACAACAUUAUCCAAGUAGUUGACAUCCUCAGCCUCUCUAGUUGCACAAGAAUAUCUCAUUAGUUGGCAUCAUCAACAUUUCUAGUAGCACAAGAAUAUCUGAUUAGUUGUCAUCACCAGCAUUUCUAGUUGCAGAACAAACAGGAUAUCAAGUUGCCAUCCUCAACAUUUUAAUCUAGUUUUCCAUAGAACAAAUAUUUGUAUGUAAUGAUAACUAAUCACCUCUGCCUUUUUUUUGCAAACCCCGAGAUAUUGUUCAAGGGAAUGAGAGUAAUGAAGCAGAUAAUGUUGAACGAUAGUCACAAGCUGGCUACCUGAUGGAGACUGCCUGGCUGGGACCCUUUCUUUCAUUGAGAAGAAGAAGGAGGAGCCCUGUGGAGAAGGAAGUGUGGGCGAGGGGUGCGUGGAGGCUUCGGGAGUUAGUGGGCUAUCACGUGAUACCAUCUGGCCUUUGUUUUCUGAUUCUUCAUGGAUUCUAGGAGUCGGAACGAAGUUUCCUUUAUGGGAACAGUGGGGACAAAAAGUUACCUUUUCCGAUGGGCUGCUCGCGAGCGCUAGCAGGCCAACGGCCGCUAGCCAGACGCGUCCCGAAAUUAAAGGUUUAUAGGUACACGGCACUACAUCCUGUCCAUUUUUGCACAGGUACUACAUCCUGUCUAUUUUUGCAUAUGCAACUACUCCUUUUUUGUUUUUUUGUUUAUAUGCGCACAUCCAGGCAAAAGUUGGCUUGGAUUCAUGUUUAGUUGCACAAAUAGAUGGUUUUUUGCACAGGCACUUCACCCUGUCUAUUUUUUACAUAUGGGUUGGUUUAUUUGCAUGCAUCCAGGCGAAAGUUGGCUUGGAUCCAUGUUUAGUUGCACAGGAAAGUGUUUUAUUGUGCAGAGAUCAGAUUCAACUCUAUUUGCUGCUUCAUGUUCCUUCUUCCUCCAACUAUGGAGAAGACCGGAGAAGAUUUGUGGCAGAUCCAGAGGGAAAGGGAAGGGGAAAGUGAAGAAGGAUGAUCUGGAGGCUAGAGGGAAGUUACCUGAUGUUGCUGCCUGCUAUGGCUUUGUACUCCCUCUUCUUAGAAUUGAAGCUUUUCUGGCCAAUUUCUUCACCUAGUUUUGCUCUGCCAUGGCAGCUCUGUAGGGUUUGGAUCCAGGCCUAGGAUCCCCUUCUUUCGUGGAGAAGAAGGGCGACCCGUGGGGGG
Long non-coding RNA from Triticum aestivum (bread wheat), 2417 nucleotides. RefSeq lists it as uncharacterized. The transcript has 4 exons. Lineage: Eukaryota; Viridiplantae; Streptophyta; Magnoliopsida; Poales; Poaceae. The record is from RefSeq and is a predicted model, not a curated record.